Molecule: non-coding RNA, 46 nt
Organism: Glossina brevipalpis
Lineage: Eukaryota; Metazoa; Arthropoda; Insecta; Diptera; Glossinidae
Source: Rfam
UAAGUGGCUUUAUUAAAAGCCAUUUUUAUAAGCGUAAGCGCAUUAU